Molecule: long non-coding RNA, 1503 nt
Organism: Glossina fuscipes
Lineage: Eukaryota; Metazoa; Arthropoda; Insecta; Diptera; Glossinidae
Exons: 5
Source: RefSeq, a predicted model, not a curated record
AUUAUUUCAGGGUAAACUUUGCUCUUCCGAACUGAGUAUACGUUCAACUUGCAAAUAUCCUUUGCAUGUACAAGACAGUCCAAUCGCAAUUUCGUUUAAGUAAUCGCAAGCCCGGCUCACUAAAUCCGCUCCUCUUUGAAAUAAGCGAGCUGCAAAUAGAACGCGUUUGUUCUGCGAUACAAAAUCCAAGUAAGGUUGGUGUGGAUGUCGUACACAAGGUACAUUCUCAUAUGCAUACGUCAUUAGGAUUGUGGUUUUACCUUAUGAUGUUUUAAAACCGUAAACUUUCGUCAUAGACUAUUUGAAUUGUUAAAAUUCGGCGAAGAUCCGAAGAUUUCAUCAAAAUGUUUAACAAAUUGAAGCUUGCAGAUUAAAUGCAAGGAAAAAGAUGAAUAGACGGAAAGACACGUUUAAAUCAAACCAAAAAGUGAUUCUAAAUCGAUCGGUAUAAUAAGAAGCAAAGAAAUGUGAACUGUGGCAGGCAACUAUUUCGGAUGAGGCACUUUUGAAAGUGAAUCGGGUGAUUGUAAAAAUCGUAAUGAACAGUUUCGAAUGAUGGCCACGAUCGAGAAAGUUUAUUGUCGGAAAAGAACAACGGUAGACAAGAAAAUUCUAAAAGCUAAUUUGAUUGAAUCAAGACGGUCACCACACGUUCAAAAUAGAACACAUUCCAAAAGCCGAAUCGCGUUAUCCAUCGUAUUAUCAUAACAGUUCACGUUUUUUGCCAUUUUUUUGCGACAUAAAACGUAACGCCUAUGAAUGCGUAGAAAAAGCCGAUUCAUCAGCCUCGAUUAGUGACUUUUUCAGGAAUACAAUGGAAACUAAACCCAAAUUUGAUCUGACAUAUUUAUUCGCUCUGGCUCAAAAUCAAAUGUUAAAUUAUCGCAAAUCCCUUCACUGCUCAUAGUACUCAUACUACAACUCAUAUUAUUCCUAAGGUGUUAGUAACGAUGCGGAAGAACGAGAUACAGAAAACAUUCGAAAAUUUGUAAGCCACUUAGACACUCAGUGUAUAUACAAGCAAACUCCUUCCUGCAAUGUCGAAUAUCUCAAAUUUGCUGUUUAGACAAUUUUAUGAACAAAAACCAAGCAUUAUGCGGUGAUCAACGACGAUUCACCACACAUACAGCAAACACAACUUUUUUUACAGCACCUGCAGCAAGCUGCCUCCUCGCUACAUUGCAACUGAAAGGAAUUUUGAGUCGUCCAGAAGCCCAAAUGCUGCUGAUCGGUUUAGUAAAAGAUAAGCUAGGCGAAAUUUCUGAACAUGACUAGUCAAUCCCGUUUGAGUCAUCGCGAUCGUGAAGCCAUUAUGUGGAACUUACGUAUACAUGUCAACAGCAACAGCAACAAAUUCUGCAAACCUUAACUGCUCUAUCUAAUAUCUAAUAGCCUGUUGGGGUAAAUUAGAAUCAAAUGGCUCGUGUGCAAAAGCAUCUUGUAAGCAGCGUGUUGUUAAUGGGAUGCUGGAAACGAGCGCAGAAAUAUCAUUUAAAAAAAAAA